Molecule: unclassified non-coding RNA, 248 nt
Filed under: Basidiomycota sp.
Lineage: Eukaryota; Fungi; Basidiomycota
Description: partial contains small subunit ribosomal RNA, internal transcribed spacer 1, and 5.8S ribosomal RNA
Rfam family: Eukaryotic small subunit ribosomal RNA (bases 1-47)
Source: RNAcentral
AAAGUCGUAACAAGGUUUCCGUAGGUGAACCUGCGGAAGGAUCAUUAAUGAUAUAAAUUGUCUUACCUUCAGUGCUGGCUCUUACAAGGGCAUGUGCACGUUGGAAGGCAUAUAUCCAACACCCUCUUGUGAACCAUUGGCCUUUGCUGGCUUCGGCUGGUCGAGGAUUUACACAAACACGAAUGUAAUGAAAUAAUGUUGUGCUCAGCACUAAUAUACAACUUUCAACAACGGAUCUCUUGGCUCUC